AGGGCCAGCCGUUUAAAAAAAGUCGUAGUCUGGGUGAAGCUUGCACCAUAACUUAGCGGCGGACGGGUGAGUAAUGCUUAGGAAUCUGCCUAUUAGUGGGGGACAACAUCUCGAAAGGGAUGCUAAUACCGCAUACGUCCUACGGGAGAAAGCAGGGGACCUUCGGGCCUUGCGCUAAUAGAUGAGCCUAAGUCGGAUUAGCUAGUUGGUGGGGUAAAGGCCUACCAAGGCGACGAUCUGUAGCGGGUCUGAGAGGAUGAUCCGCCACACUGGGACUGAGACACGGCCCAGACUCCUACGGGAGGCAGCAGUGGGGAAUAUUGGACAAUGGGGGGAACCCUGAUCCAGCCAUGCCGCGUGUGUGAAGAAGGCCUUUUGGUUGUAAAGCACUUUAAGCGAGGAGGAGGCUACUGGUAUUAAUACUACCGGAUAGUGGACGUUACUCGCAGAAUAAGCACCGGCUAACUCUGUGCCAGCAGCCGCGGUAAUACAGAGGGUGCGAGCGUUAAUCGGAUUUACUGGGCGUAAAGCGUGCGUAGGCGGCUUUUUAAGUCGGAUGUGAAAUCCCUGAGCUUAACUUAGGAAUUGCAUUCGAUACUGGGAGGCUAGAGUAUGGGAGAGGAUGGUAGAAUUCCAGGUGUAGCGGUGAAAUGCGUAGAGAUCUGGAGGAAUACCGAUGGCGAAGGCAGCCAUCUGGCCUAAUACUGACGCUGAGGUACGAAAGCAUGGGGAGCAAACAGGAUUAGAUACCCUGGUAGUCCAUGCCGUAAACGAUGUCUACUAGCCGUUGGGGCCUUUGAGGCUUUAGUGGCGCAGCUAACGCGAUAAGUAGACCGCCUGGGGAGUACGGUCGCAAGACUAAAACUCAAAUGAAUUGACGGGGGCCCGCACAAGCGGUGGAGCAUGUGGUUUAAUCGAUGCAACGCGAAGAACCUUACCUGGUCUGACAUACAGAGAACUUUCAGAGAUGGAUUGGUGCUUUCGGGAACUCUGAUCCAGGUGCUGCAUGCUUGUCGUCAGCUCGUGUCGUGACUCGUGGGUUAAGUUCUGCAACGAGCGCAACCCUUUUCCUUACUUGCCAUCGGGUCAUGCCGGAACUUUAAGGAUACUGCCAAUGAC
Molecule: ribosomal RNA, 1119 nt
Filed under: Acinetobacter sp. AOLR03
Lineage: Bacteria; Pseudomonadati; Pseudomonadota; Gammaproteobacteria; Moraxellales; Moraxellaceae
Description: bacterial SSU rRNA
Rfam family: Bacterial small subunit ribosomal RNA
Source: RNAcentral